Molecule: ribosomal RNA, 429 nt
Filed under: Acidovorax sp. Sven8r
Lineage: Bacteria; Pseudomonadati; Pseudomonadota; Betaproteobacteria; Burkholderiales; Comamonadaceae
Description: bacterial SSU rRNA
Rfam family: Bacterial small subunit ribosomal RNA
Source: RNAcentral
CAGGUCUUCGGAUGCUGACGAGUGGCGAACGGGUGAGUAAUACAUCGGAACGUGCCCGAUCGUGGGGGAUAACGAAGCGAAAGCUUUGCUAAUACCGCAUACGAUCUACGGAUGAAAGCAGGGGACCGCAAGGCCUUGCGCGAACGGAGCGGCCGAUGGCAGAUUAGGUAGUUGGUGGGAUAAAAGCUUACCAAGCCGACGAUCUGUAGCUGGUCUGAGAGGACGACCAGCCACACUGGGACUGAGACACGGCCCAGACUCCUACGGGAGGCAGCAGUGGGGAAUUUUGGACAAUGGGCGAAAGCCUGAUCCAGCCAUGCCGCGUGCAGGAUGAAGGCCUUCGGGUUGUAAACUGCUUUUGUACGGAACGAAAAGACUCUGGUUAAUACCUGGGGUCCAUGACGGUACCGUAAGAAUAAGCACCGGCUA